UUCAUAAGGGAUAGCUUAGUUGAUAGAGCAUGAGGCUCUUAAUCUCAGAGUUUGGGGUUUCGAGCCCCACAUUGGGCGAAA
Non-coding RNA from Podarcis lilfordi (Lilford's wall lizard), 81 nucleotides. NCBI's taxonomy places the organism in Eukaryota, Metazoa, Chordata, Lepidosauria, Squamata, Lacertidae. The record is from the annotation of a GenBank genome assembly.